This 344-nucleotide transfer-messenger RNA is filed under the name Desulfobacteraceae bacterium. Its description in RNAcentral is "partial transfer-messenger RNA". It matches the Rfam family "transfer-messenger RNA". From Rfam's summary of the family: Bacterial tmRNA, also known as 10Sa RNA or SsrA, is named for its dual tRNA and mRNA-like properties. Lineage: Bacteria; Pseudomonadati; Thermodesulfobacteriota; Desulfobacteria; Desulfobacterales; Desulfobacteraceae. The record is from RNAcentral.
GGGGGCGCAAUGGUUUCGACGGAGAUUUUGACGCCUAAGGUAGCAUGCCGAGUCUUUUGUCAGCUCGUAAAAUUGGCAAAGCUUUAAAUAUAAUCGCAGACGAUUAUGAUUACGCUGUAGCAGCUUAAGGCUGCUUCCGUCCUCCUGAUAUCCCUCUUGCAGAUUCAGGUCACGGCGUCGACUUUGCAAGACCGCCCUCGGGGCUUCCUGAACCCCAUGGGUUGAAUUUCUCAGGAUACACCGGGCCGUAUCCAUCCUGGAGGAGCCGUCCCGGCCAAUUAUAAAGUUCAGGAUAAGCAUGUAGAAGCCCAGGUUGAUUGUUUUCGGACGCGGGUUCAAUUCCC